RNAcentral lists this ribosomal RNA (253 nucleotides) under uncultured bacterium. Its description in RNAcentral is "partial 16S ribosomal RNA". It matches the Rfam family "Bacterial small subunit ribosomal RNA", at positions 524 to 776 of the family's 1533-position model. The record is from RNAcentral.
UACGUAGGGAGCAAGCGUUGUCCGGAAUCAUUGGGCGUAAAGCGCGCGUAGGUGGCCUCAUAAGUCCGCUGUGAAAGUCAAAGGCUCAACCUUUGAAAGCCGGUGGAUACUGUGAGGCUAGAGUACGGAAGAGGCGAGUGGAAUUCCUGGUGUAGCGGUGGAAUGCGCAGAUAUCAGGAGGAACACCAAUUGCGAAGGCAGCUCGCUGGGACGUUACUGACGCUGAGACGCGAAAGCGUGGGGAGCAAACAGG